GCAGCACCUGGACCGGAAGUUGAAGCCGAGAGUGCGGGGAGCACCAAGAAUGCUGGGAAUCAUGGUUCUGGUGGCAGACGGAUCUCUUAGCCUCG
This is a long non-coding RNA of Pipistrellus kuhlii (Kuhl's pipistrelle), 95 nucleotides long. RefSeq lists it as uncharacterized. The record is from RefSeq and is a predicted model, not a curated record. The transcript is spliced from 3 exons. Lineage: Eukaryota; Metazoa; Chordata; Mammalia; Chiroptera; Vespertilionidae.